GAUGAACGCUAGCGGCAGGCCUAAUACAUGCAAGUCGAACGAGAUUAAGAGGCUUGCUUCUUAUGAAAGUGGCGCACGGGUGCGUAACGCGUAUGCAACCUACCUUAAUCAGGGGGAUAGCCCGAAGAAAUUCGGAUUAAGACCGCAUAAAAACACAGGAUAGCAUUAUCCAAUGUUCAAAUAUUUAUAGGAUUAAGAUGGGCAUGCGUGUCAUUAGCUAGUUGGCGGGGUAACGGCCCACCAAGGCGACGAUGACUAGGGGAUCUGAGAGGAUGACCCCCCACACUGGUACUGAGACACGGACCAGACUCCUACGGGAGGCAGCAGUAAGGAAUAUUGGUCAAUGGAGGGAACUCUGAACCAGCCAUGCCGCGUGCAGGAAGACAGCCCUCUGGGUCGUAAACUGCUUUUAUUCGGGAAUAAACCUUUCUACGUGUAGGAAGCUGAAUGUACCGAAGGAAUAAGGAUCGGCUCACUCCGUG
RNAcentral lists this ribosomal RNA (482 nucleotides) under uncultured bacterium. RNAcentral's name for it is "partial 16S ribosomal RNA". It matches the Rfam family "Bacterial small subunit ribosomal RNA", at positions 28 to 507 of the family's 1533-position model. The record is from RNAcentral.